RNAcentral lists this ribosomal RNA (804 nucleotides) under uncultured bacterium. Its description in RNAcentral is "bacterial SSU rRNA". It matches the Rfam family "Bacterial small subunit ribosomal RNA", at positions 642 to 1446 of the family's 1533-position model. The record is from RNAcentral.
UNGAGUGCAGAAGGGGAGAGUGGAAUUCCAUGUGUAGCGGUGAAAUGCGUAGAUAUAUGGAGGAACACCAGUGGCGAAAGCGGCUCUCUGGUCUGUCACUGACGCUGAGGCUNGAAAGCGUGGGUAGCGAACAGGAUUAGAUACCCUGGUAGUNCACGCCGUAAACGAUGAGUGCUAGGUGUCAGGCCCUUUCCGGGGCUUAGUGCCGGAGCUAACGCAAUAAGCACUCCGCCUGGGGAGUACGACCGCAAGGUUGAAACUCAAAGGAAUUGACGGGGGCCCGCACAAGCGGUGGAGCAUGUGGUUUAAUUCGAAGCAACGCGAAGAACCUUACCAGGUCUUGACAUCCCGAUGCUAUUCUUAGAGAUAGGAAGUUACUUCGGUACAUCGGAGACAGGUGGUGCAUGGUUGUCGUCAGCUCGUGUCGUGAGAUGUUGGGUUAAGUCCCGCAACGAGCGCAACCCUUAUUGUUAGUUGCCAUCAUUAAGUUGGGCACUCUAGCGAGACUGCCGGUAAUAAACCGGAGGAAGGUGGGGAUGACGUCAAAUCAUCAUGCCCCUUAUGACCUGGGCUACACACGUGCUACAAUGGUCGGUACAACGAGUUGCGAGCCGGUGACGGCAAGCUAAUCUCUGAAAGCCGAUCUCAGUUCGGAUUGGAGGCUGCAACUCGCCUCCAUGAAGUCGGAAUCGCUAGUAAUCGCGGAUCAGCACGCCGCGGUGAAUACGUUCCCGGGCCUUGUACACACCGCCCGUCACACCACGAGAGUUUGUAACACCCGAAGUCGGUGAGGUAACCUUUUAG